UUCCAAAUCAGCCAGGCCGCCCGCGCCUCCGUGACUUCCGCGCGCGAAAAUCAGUCCCCGGCUCCCCUCGAAUCCAAAUCAGCCCCCGCGCGCGCCAAAAUCGAUCCCCCGCGCGUCUUAUCUAUAGCGCAGCGCCGCAGCCUGCCCAUUCUCCAUUCCUCUCCAUCCAAAAUUGCCCACGGGCGAGACAGGCCCCCCGCACCGCACCAAAUCGGCGGCGGCGGCGCGACGGUGCCCCGUUGCGGCUGCUCCUAUCGUCGCUCUACUCGGCGAUCGCCGGUCAGCACUGCGAAGCUCCACCUCCCACUCCCAGGGCCACGACUGCAGGCGGCGGCAGCAGCUCCACUCCCACAGCAACGGUUCUUCCCACGGAGGCAGUUAAGAUCUGCAAGUCUGCAACUUGCAUGUGAUGGAUCUAUCCAGGAUGGAGGCGCUCGUUUGCAACUCUGCAACUGUGGUACAUAGCUUUCUAAGGUCUCAUAUUUAUUUUGCAAGUCAUAUUUGUGGUUGUUCUAUACUAGGAUUACUGUCACAUAGCCAUGACAUUGGUCUAUUUGUGUCUAUUUGUGCUUGUUAUGCUGAGAUCGGGACCAAGUCUCCAACUACAAGAACUCCAGACACCAAAACCCCCAAAGUCAGAUCCAGGAAGCUGAAAACUUCGCAAGUGUGGAAGCAUUUCACUGAAAGAAGCUGAUCACUUUGACAUCUUGAGCUGGUGGAAGACACAUGGUGUAAAAUAUCCUAUCCUUGCUCGAGUUGCAAGGGAUGUGUUUGGCUAUUCCUGCAACCACAGUAGCAUCUGAAUCAGCCUUUUGUUCUGGAGGAAGAAUUGUUCAUAAAUAUUGUAGUCGUUUGGACCCUCAAGCUGUGGAGGCACUAAUCUGCAGCAAGGAUUGGAUAAGAGCGGCACGAAUUGAUCAAAGUAAUGUAUCUUCAAUUCUUGAUGAUUUUGUUGGCCUUGGUGUUGAUGAUAUAGCUGGAGAAGAAGAAGGUGCUCCUGCUGAUGCUGGACAUCAAAGUGGCAGGGUGGAUUUGUCAGAUAACUAGGCUGUUGAGAGUGAAGACGUGUUGGCUGCUGCUGCCAUUUCAAAAAUCUAAGCUAUUGCUAGCUGUUAUGAACUAUCAACUGUGAGACUGCUAUUUAUGCCUUGCUGCUUGCUGUGUGAACUUGUGAGUUGUGAGAGCAGAGCCUUUUAUCUUAUAUGCGCUAAGUUUUGCUUGCUGAACUGCUAUGGCAAACCUAUCCAUAAAAAGAUAAGUUAAAGUGUGGGAUACUAGCACUGACUUGCAAUUUUUUGGUGCAUGCAUGAACAUGCUUCAACUUUUUUGGUGAUUUGUUGCAGUGGCUUGCAAUUUUUUGGUGUAUGCAUGAA
Long non-coding RNA from Setaria italica (foxtail millet), 1373 nucleotides. RefSeq lists it as uncharacterized. The record is from RefSeq and is a predicted model, not a curated record. The transcript is spliced from 5 exons. Lineage: Eukaryota; Viridiplantae; Streptophyta; Magnoliopsida; Poales; Poaceae.